CGUACACUCCUGCGGGAGGCAGCAGUGGGGAAUAUUGCACAAUGGGCGCAAGCCUGAUGCAGCCAUGCCGCGUGUAUGAAGAAGGCCUUCGGGUUGUAAAGUACUUUCAGCGGGGAGGAAGGCGAUAAGGUUAAUAACCUUGUCGAUUGACGUUACCCGCAGAAGAAGCACCGGCUAACUCCGUGCCAGCAGCCGCGGUAAUACGGAGGGUGCAAGCGUUAAUCGGAAUUACUGGGCGUAAAGCGCACGCAGGCGGUCUGUCAAGUCGGAUGUGAAAUCCCCGGGCUCAACCUGGGAACUGCAUUCGAAACUGGCAGGCUAGAGUCUUGUAGAGGGGGGUAGAAUUCCAGGUGUAGCGGUGAAAUGCGUAGAGAUCUGGAGGAAUACCGGUGGCGAAGGCGGCCCCCUGGACAAAGACUGACGCUCAGGUGCGAAAGCGUGGGGAGCAAACAGGAUUAGAAACCCGAGUAGUCCCAU
This 477-nucleotide ribosomal RNA is filed under the name uncultured organism. Its description in RNAcentral is "partial 16S ribosomal RNA". It matches the Rfam family "Bacterial small subunit ribosomal RNA", at positions 330 to 798 of the family's 1533-position model. The record is from RNAcentral.